GGCACACAUAUGGUGCACAUGUACACAUGCAGGCAAAGCAUUCAUACACAUAAAAUCAAAUAAAACUUUAAGGUUAUCAUUUAAUUAAGAGCUGGAGACACGAAUCCAUGGGCAAGAACCCUGGCUGCUCUUCUAGAGAACCAGGGUUUGGUUCCCACACCCAUGAUGGCUCCAGUUCCAAGGAGCUAAUACUUUCUUCUGACCUUCAUGGGAAUAUGCACUCAGAGAGUAUACGUAUUUACACACACACACACAAAUUAAUUAAUUAAAAUUAAUUAAUUAAUCUUUAAAAAGUAAAGAGAUUUAAAGAGCCAUGAAAAAUAAAACCUAAUGAAAAGGACAGUAUGACUUUGUUUCCGCUCUCACAUUUGUACUUCACACUGCACAAUGAAAUAAUAAGGGAACAUCAGAAUAGGAGUAAAGUCAGCUGAACUACUGUUCCAAAGGUGGGCAGAGAGGGAACAGUAUUCAUCAUCAGGGCUGACCAGAGCCCCAGAAGUUGUAAGAAAUGAUCAGACCUCAUGUAAGGAGGCAAUGGGACCUUUGGAUGGACCUGGAUUUGACCUGGUUCUUAAAAGAAUGUAUCAUUUGCAGUCUUAUGAGUCUAAAUUCCAUGCAUUUCGACAGGGAACUUCUGCACGCACACCCCCAAAAAGUAAAUCUAGAUUGCUCUUUUGGACAGAAUUGCCCAAAAUUCAUUGUUAUAGUGUAAGAAACAUGACAUCUCUGACCUUCUGGCUCAGGGCACAGUCAGCCUGUUUCCCCUCAGUAUAUGUGAGAGGGAAGCUGAUGUAAGGGCCAGUGACGUCAUCUUCGGUGAUGUGUGCACAGGUGAGCACAUUAGACAAAAAAAGAAAUGGAUGCUCUGACUACUUCAGAGCAAACCGUAGCUCAUAAACCCUAUUCCUGACAGGAUCCUAAUGACAAUGGGUCUAUAGACUCUGAACUAGCUCUAAAUCAUUGCUUCCACAGAGAACUGGAGGUCAGGACAGGGGAAAUAACUUUCUCAGAGAGCAUCUCUAAGUGAGUAGCUGAGCCCUGACUGCUGACAAAAUACCUUUGUCUGCUUCUGCCAAAUCUCCAUGGUAAGUGAUUUUGCAUCUUGCCUUUGGUCCACCCUGGAGCAUUUUGGUGGCAUCUUUCUACUUUCAAAUGCAGACACCAGGGAGAUUACCCAGGACCACACAGCUGACCAGCAUCAGAGCAGGAAGGCCAUCUGACUCUAGUGUCAGUAACCUUUCCAGGAAGCCUGCUGUCCUCCCAGCAUUCUGUGUAUUGUAAGGCCAAGAAUCAGAAAGUCCCUGUCCAUCAGACUACACAACCAAUGCUCUGCCAGUUCUGUCCACAGAACAGCCGUGGUGUUGUGAUGCUCACCAGAGGGACAAAACAAAGACCUCAAGACAAGCAUUUCCUUCCAUUGACUCAAUAAACUUGAAGCAUAAAUGUCCUGAUUUGAUACAAUCUAUAACUAACCUCGUUCCUCAAGGAGUGUUCUGCCAAGAAACACAAACGGUAUAUAAGAAAAUACCUAUCCUUUGGGCUGUUUGGGUGCCACCUCCUCCAGGAAGCUUUCCAGAUCAUCUAUCAACCAGACUGGAGUAUAUGGCCUUCUUUAAUUCUUAAACCACUAGUACUUACCAUUAUUAAAAAGUGGAACUCUGCCCUGUAAAAAGCUGAUGUACUCUUUUGAGUGCCACCUCCCCUUUGUAGAGAGACAUAAUCACAUGGAUCCCCAGGAACUACCAUAUUAUCUGGUACAAAGAGAAAAGUCAGUGGAUAUUGUUCAAUGAAUGAAUGGAUGGAUAAUGCAAUAAAUAAGAACCAGUGGAGACACACCAAAGCCAUGGUGUGGAGACUCAGGCGAAGGUACUGCUGAUUCUGCUGCUGAGGUGAGGGACAGUAUGAGAGACUCUGGGAUCUAUCUUGAGAGAUUGAGUUAGAAGACUAUAGCUGUAACUUUGUGUUAGGGGACAUGGCCAGUCUGUGUAACUUCCUGGGUUUCACUCAGCAAACCACCAAAAUAAAAUAAGCAAAAGACAAGUUGGCAUUUCCCUCAAGACUACUGCAUAGAAGACUAUUCCAAGGUGAAGGGACAGCAUGAGCCAAACCACAGAGGUGCGAAAGCAUGUGGGUCACUGCCAGAGACAGCACUGCAGAUAGCAGCACUAAAAACACUGGAGACAACAGCACUGAAGACAGCAACUCCGCACAGUAGACAACAGCACUGUAGAUGACAGCGCUGUAGACUACAGUGCUAUAGAGGACAAUACUACACACACUGCAGACACUGCAGAAGACAUCACUGCAGACACUGCAGAAACUGCAGAAGACAGUAGUACUGCAGACACUGCAGAUGAGACAGCACUGUAGAGGACAGCACUACAGAAGACACCACUGCAGACACCGCAGAGGACAGCCUGGCAAGACUCCAGAGCAGUUCUUAGUGGGAGGAAGUGGGACAGGUGGGGCUGGAAAGAUCUCAAACAAGUUUCAAAAGACUUGGAACUGACACCGAGGAGUCUGAAGUAAGUCACUGAAGUCUGUAAGCUAACUAAUAACAUAACUAGAUGGCUAAACAGGAGAAGAGGAUUUGUUUCCUUUUCAGUAACUAAAAAGCCCAAUUUCCUCUAUUUUUAUAUCUCUUGUCCCUUCGUGAAAAUGGACAAACAAAAUCCAGCUGCAGUGCUCCUCCUUGCAAAACAAAUUCGGGUUUCUCCUCUUGCUUUCUGGCAGCCGGCUCAGAAGUGAAGGCAUCCGCCGUGCAGCUGGGAAAACAGGAGCUUGUUUGGCUCUGAGCAAUGCGGGGAGUGCUGGUCUGGGCAGUGAGUCAGCUCCUUCCUGAAAGUCUAGGUCAAGGGAGUCCAUACCACAAUCUUGUUUACUGGCUUUUGCUUCCACUGUCCGAGCAUUGAUUCUGAUUACUGCAAAGGUGUAUUCGGUCACUCUUGGCUUAAAAGCCUGUAAUUCCGUUGACAAGAAGAUGUGAUCAGAACAACAGUGACCCCAUUUUAAUCCUCCAGUUCAUUGGAGAGAGCUGGAUGAAGAGUGGAGCGUUGUUUUCUGGUGGCUUUUGUUCCUGCCUGACCACAGUCAUGUGUGGGAAUGACUCUGCAGAGCUGUUUGCUGGCCUGGCAGAUUUGGAGGGGAGCCGAUGAGUGACCUGUCUGAAUCAACUCCUCCAGCCCAGACACGUGGGGCUACAGCUAAUCAAUCAAGUCUGCUGAGGGCUGCUCCCUGCCAACCUCUGAGGACAACAGGAUGCCAGGGUGAAUAAGACAGUCUACCAGAGUCUAGGAACCGGGAUAAAAACUCAGGCAAUGGAGACUUCAGCUCUUAACUAUUAUUGUUGUUGUUGUUAUUAUUAUAAAGGAAUACAAAUUUUAAUUGUUA
This is a long non-coding RNA of Mus musculus (house mouse), 3390 nucleotides long. RefSeq annotates it as predicted gene, 29928. The transcript is spliced from 2 exons. The record is from RefSeq and is a predicted model, not a curated record. NCBI's taxonomy places the organism in Eukaryota, Metazoa, Chordata, Mammalia, Rodentia, Muridae.